UGCUCAGGGAUUUCAGUUGGAGUUGACAAGUCACCUUUUACUGUCUCUAUCUCAUUUCAAGACCUCUCUGGAGGUAGACAAGCUUUGAAGCCUCUUUAUUUUCUCAAGGUAUGUUGCAGAAGUGUAAUCCCACUUGAUAGGUAUGCAAGACCUAAGCAUGGUCCUGAUUUCUCCUGAAACUAUACCUCUGUCUUCAAGCAUUGCCAUGAAUUUUGGAUUGUCAGCUGAAAACUCAAACAGAAAACCAGCAGUUGCAGCUUUCAAAAGUUAGAGAGACUAGAGCUUUCAUUUCACAAAUAAUCAGUGUAAGCAGUCCAGAGGCAAUAUUUCAUUGAAGGAAGAACUAGAUGAAAAAAGAAAAUAAGAAAUCAGGAAGGAAUCCAUUCCAUCCCAAAAGCAAGGGGUUUUUGUCCCCUUUAACUUUAGUGAAGACAGCAUCAUUACAUUGGAACAUGCAACACACACAUCUUUCUGGAGGACUCCCAGCUAGAUAAUCUGAAGAUUUUUAAAAUUUAAUUUAAAUUAAUGACUGUGUCAGUAAAGAAAACUCAGGUU
This is a long non-coding RNA of Neopelma chrysocephalum (saffron-crested tyrant-manakin), 555 nucleotides long. RefSeq lists it as uncharacterized. The transcript has 5 exons. The record is from RefSeq and is a predicted model, not a curated record. NCBI's taxonomy places the organism in Eukaryota, Metazoa, Chordata, Aves, Passeriformes, Pipridae.